This is a long non-coding RNA of Sceloporus undulatus (fence lizard), 1287 nucleotides long. RefSeq lists it as uncharacterized. NCBI's taxonomy places the organism in Eukaryota, Metazoa, Chordata, Lepidosauria, Squamata, Phrynosomatidae. The transcript has 4 exons. The record is from RefSeq and is a predicted model, not a curated record.
UCACUAAAUUAUGAAAACAGAAAGAAGAGCAAGUGUUCUACAUAUGUAGGAGAACAGUCAGUAAAAUCACUGUUUUCUAACAGGCUUUUUAUACUAAGUUCUUCCAGCUGCCAAAUGCCUUAACUGAAGACAAAGCAAACAGCUAUCAUGUUUUUCAUAGUCAUGCCGUGUCGCUUUUCUGUCACCAGGUGUAAAGUAGAUAGACUAAAGUGAAGAAAAAUGGUAUCACGCUAACACAACUGUUUUUAUUAUGCAUUUGGCUUCAAAAAGUGAGAGUCUGAAAGCUGCUUCUUUCUACUGAGACUUGUACAGUUUUGUUAUCAUUCCUUUCAGCCUCUCCCAAGCUGUUUUUAUCCUUUAAAUGUGAACGCUGGAUAAGCACUAGGGUCAUUGGGUCAUUUUAACAGCUGAUUCUCAAACCAUCAAGACUGCUUCUUUUUCUCCCCUUUUGGUCUGGAAAACCUAAGGCCAACAUCCAAGCACUGAACAUCAGGUCGAAUUCUGAACUGAAUGUGAAAAUUGUGUUGGAAGUACAGAAGACUGAGAGAAAAAUGGCUGAACGAACCUUGGAUUCCUCUCUUGAUUUGGGAAGUAUGUCAGUGUAGACUUCCAUCCUUUGGCAAAUAUCUGUAAGGUCAGAAAGGAGUGCCCUAUACAUCCACCACUUCCCCCAUGACACAUGCUAGUGAGGCAUGUGCAUAAAAGUUCAAAGAUAAUUCAAAAUGACAGGUCAUGUUUGUCCAAAUGAGUAGCUAAACAGAUGCUGAACCUAUGCAUGGAGUCAGUAAUGGGAUGGAUGACAGGCAAUAAUUCAAAGCUGAAGCUAUACAAGAUGGAGGCAUGGAGGAGGACAGUAAUAAGGUUGUGGAAAUCUCGGUCGACUCUACUGGAAAGACAUAAAUGGAGAUGGGGAAAUUUAAUCACAAGACUGAAAUGGAUCUUGCCUGCGGUUUUAAGAGAGACCAAAAAUCUACAAAGAAGGAUGUCAUGCUGAGCCAGAAAGGGUUCUCUCUCCCCCCUCUCUCUCUUUCAUAACAUUUUCUAUAUUGUAAACAUGCUAUUAGUUCUAACAAGAAUUUCAGGAAGAUGAAGGAUGGCAGCUUUAUCUUUGUUUUGGUCUUUGGUUGGCUGGAGGAACUUGCACAAGUCACUUAGUCAGAAUUUUUUUUCCUCCGUAAAAUGGAAGUUAUUGAUUUCUCAUCUUCUGAAAGCAAUUUGGAUUCUCAGGAGGAAGGCAACAUACAUUUUCUUUUUUAAAAAAAUAAAAAGAUCUGUUUCCACUUUUAA